UGGGGAAUCUUCCGCAAUGGACGAAAGUCUGACGGAGCAACGCCGCGUGAGUGAUGACGGCCUUCGGGUUGUAAAGCUCUGUUAAUCGGGACGAAUGGUUCUUGUGCGAAUAGUGCGAGGAUUUGACGGUACCGGAAUAGAAAGCCACGGCUAACUACGUGCCAGCAGCCGCGGUAAUACGUAGGUGGCAAGCGUUGUCCGGAAUUAUUGGGCGUAAAGCGCGCGCAGGCGGAUUGGUCAGUCUGUCUUAAAAGUUCGGGGCUUAACCCCGUGAUGGGAUGGAAACUGCCAAUCUAGAGUAUCGGGGAGGAAAGUGGAAUUCCUAGUGUAGCGGUGAAAUGCGUAGAUAUUAGGAAGAACCCCAGUGGCGAAGGCGACUUUCUGGACGAAAACUGACGCUGAGGCGCGAAAGCCAGGGGAGCGAACGGG
This 429-nucleotide ribosomal RNA is filed under the name bacterium. RNAcentral's name for it is "partial 16S ribosomal RNA". It matches the Rfam family "Bacterial small subunit ribosomal RNA", at positions 355 to 776 of the family's 1533-position model. The record is from RNAcentral.